CGCCGGCGUGUCGACCAACAACUACGCCCUGGACGAGAUCAAGGAAGUUUAACAUCAGAGACGACUACUGCAACCUGCAGCCUGUGCUGUUUGGCAGCUCGAUCCAUGUGAAAUGUUAGCCCACAAGUCUUGUCUGUAAUAGUGUAACUUCUACGAUUAUAUGUAUUUGCUCGCUUCCUUAUGGACGUAAUAAUCUCAUGUCAUGUUGCUUACAAGACUUGUAUUCUUUUUUUUCCUUCACUUUUGUUUGUACAUGCACGUAAGUGACUUAGUUGGUGCUCAAAAGGAUCUUUUGUUCAUGAUAUAUACUCCCUUCGUGUCAUAUUAAGUGACAAAAUAUUACAUGUUCUAGAAACUCUUGGGUAUAGAUACAUUCAUAUUAGGCCAACUUUGAGUCACUUAAUAUGAGACGGAGGAAGUAGCAGGUGGCUACACAACUCACCCAAACUUAAGUAAUUCAGGGUUAAACCACCCAGCAGAGUCGACUGGCCCAAAACGCAUAUUUGGUCAUAUAUGGUGCGCCUAGAUUCAAUGAACAUGCACAUAAAAGUAAAAGAAUCACGGCUGCACAAUGGUGAACUUCUUUCUUUUUUCGGGUAAAUGGUGAACUUCACUAUAUCCGCACUGGUUACAGAACGCAGGGUUUAACAAUGAGCUUUCAGUUCAUCUGUGUGGCUCAUACAGAGGUAUAUAUAGGUGGAGGUAGUCUGACUCGAAUCGAACAGGAAGCCCAACACUUAUAGUACAUACCUCUCAUCACAAGAAUUCAAUAUACAUUAACAAUUUCCACCUUGCGGCGCAUUUUUCAUCAAAUAUUCAGCAAUCUUAAAGUCUUACACGGAGGUGGGUGUGUGUGUGUACACGGCUAUCGAACAUGCAUAUAAUCCAGUCUACCACCGAUGGCUAAACACCCUGAGACUGGUAAAACUAGCUAGGAAAACCUAUAUAAGGUAUCGUUAGCAUUGCACAUUCCAUUCGGGCUCGAUGAUGACUUUGAUGAUUGCCUGUUGGAACACCUCGCUUGAUCACGGUCACGUGAAGAUAAUCAAUCCCCCCCACCCACAUUCCAGUGUGGGGGACUGGCGUGGUCAUGAAUAACCACGUACUCGACUCGAGUAUACCUGCUGCGGCCCAGUUGGGAGUUCACAAGAAAGCCUAUUACGAUUCCUGGAGUCUAAAUGUCAAAUCUUGCAACUCAAGAUAAAAAAGAUUAAUUAGAGUAUAUCUCCUCGUUGUAACCGAUUUGGAUUUUACCUUAGACCUGAGUUCCUGCAUAUAUAAAGGACCAGGAGGGGGAGCCAAGGACACCGUACCUAGCUAGAAGUCGCCUAGACACACUUGAAUUUGUGCAUUUAGCCUCAGCGGCAUCCCGUUGUAAUCGAUUCAUCAAUACAGAUCAAACAAGCAGGAUGCAGGGGUAUUACCUCAUCGAGGGCCCUGAACCUGGGUAAAUCGUGUUUCCUGUGUCCUUGUUAGCCGACGAGUUCGCCAACACACACGCAUGUUGCUCUCCCUAAACACAAAGCCCCUCAACAUGGGCAUUGCCGAAGUCACAACUUCGUCAUUGGCGCCGUCUGUGGGAAAGACGUGUGUUGGAGACACGACCUUGGCGGUUCCAGAUUCCUAUAACCCGUCGUCGACUCAGGCGGAGUCAAUGACCUUCGGGUCCUUCCACUUUACCGCUCACCCCCCAGCCAGCCGCGCGGUUUUCGACGCGCUUGACGCUGGCGUUGACCUUGUGUUCGGGGAGUUCCAUUUCCGAGCCGACCGAUCCGGUAUCCUUCGACUGUCGGGUCCGACUGCUCUAACUCUGGAGAAGUUGCCUCUCUCACCCUCAAGAAAAGUCUCGCCGACAGAUUCGGUGGGACCACUUGACGAAGCAGAGCAAGUCUCCCUCGGGACUCCCUCUGAAGUCGAAGCAGACCCACCUUAUUGUGCAGAAAGCCCCGUCCCAAGUGACGCCGGCUAAUGCCCGGAACAAGAAAGUUGCCAUAGCAACAACGAUCUUGCGCCUCAAUGUGCCCAAUUCUUCAUGACAAACCUAGUCGCUCCAACUCCUCCGGCCGCGGAUACCAUCGCAAACUUGCAAGGUGGACAUUUAGCAGCGGAGAAGGCACGGGUCCAAGGAGCCCUUGACACGGGAGUCCUCAUGAAAGACCCCACUCCCGCGGAAUUAAAGCUGUAUGCAAAUUCCUUAGCCGGGAACCGGUUCAACUUGAUCAAAGAAAAAGAAGAGUUUGUCAAGCAGCAGAAGCACGAAGCCGACAAACUUAAAAAGAUAGAAGAGGAACUUCAAGUGUCUGGGAAGGCUCGGCCAGAAUCAUCCGACACUUCGGACAAAAGCGCCUUCCCUCUCCGAAACGCUCAUCGUGGGUCUCGUUUCUAUAAACUGCCCAAGGGAGACAGAACCUACGCGGUUCGUGAUCUCUCCUCAAGCUUCAUGUCGGCAGAUGAUCGCAAUGAUGCAACAGUUGGGAUUACUGAAGAGGCACUCCGUGUGGAGAGUACUUAUCUGUCAAUCCCACUACCCGACAAUGACCCGCACUAGCGCGUCUGCAAGCAAAUCCUAAAAGGAUUGACUAAAGCAGGGGCUUCUUGCAUCAAUCAAAACCCGGCCGCUCCACCUCAUACGGAUGACGAGCCUCAGCGUGAACGUCGACUGCCCGUCUCGGGACAAAACGAACACGAGCCAAACCCUCGCAGAAGGAGUGAAUCUCCUCGUCGAGUCAUUAGCCCCCUAGCUGGCUGCAGGGAGGACAAUCCUGAAUCAGAUCACGAAACGUGUGGAGUACCAUGUUUCAGUCGUCGGAUUUGCCGAACCAGGAUGCCAAGAAACUUCAAGCCGCUAGCUGACCUGGCAAAAUACGAUGGCACGCAGGAGCCCAGGACCUGGCUGGAGGACUACCUGACCGGGAUUCGAUGCUAUGGUAGAACUCGAACCACCGCUAUGCAGUGCCUUCAACUCAAGCUCAGGGGUCCGGCUCGUACCUGGUUGAACAGCCUACGCAAGGGCGAGGUUACUUCAUGGGACGAGUUGGUAUAGGCUUUUACAUGCAAUUUCAAAGCCACGUAUAAGCGACCGUAUCUCUCGAACAACUUCGAUCGUGCAUUCAACGCAAAGGAGAGUCUAUCCGCUCCUAUAUCCAGCGAUGGACCAACACAAAACAUGCCUCCGAAGAAAUCUCAGAUGAAAGCGCCAUAGACGCAUUCAAACGAGGUCUUCGUCAAGUUGAGCUCAAGGAAGAAUUGGGUCGCGUUCGACCUUCUACCAUCAGCUAUCUGAUGGAAAUCGCGAACCGAUGGGCUGAUGGAGAAGACUCACUCCGCAAUGAACGUGGUCAAUCCCCAGUCAGUAGCACAUACCGCACCUUCGAAAGACGGAGGAAGCGCAAGGGUUGCACGUUUGAGGAACCAACCUCACCCGAUUUUGUCGCAGCCACUUCUCAAGUAGAAGGUGGCCGCAACGAUGAAAUUCGCGGGCCUAAACCUCAGUGGCGACGCAAGGGAGGCCAGAUUACACUCUCUCAGCAACUGGCGUCUCCUUGCCCGUUCCAUGUCUACAAAGACGAACAAAGCAACAUUAAGCCUAGCCAUCCUCUUAGGGAGUGCAGGCGAUUUAAGGAGUUACAGCUCGAGUUUUCUAGAGCACAGGAAACAGCCGUACACAUGGGUUAUCCCCAUCACCCUAGCAAUGGAGUCACCAUGUUACCACCGGCUCAGCUUCCGGCGACUCUCGCCAUCGGAGCUUCAUCGGCUCAUCUACUCCAAACCAACCUGGCCGUGGUAGUAAACCACUCUUCGGAACCAACACCUGCUGCUGUCGAGCCUUAUCCAGCCCCAACAGGUCACGGGUGCAUGAUUCAGAAGUGCAGGCCAACAAACCGGGUUCAGAAGCUAAUAACCCGACAAGUGCAUAUGGCCGUGGCCACGCCACCAGCCGUACCACAAUACCUUGAUUGGUCUGAAACAGAAAUCAGUUUCUCUCGAGAGGAUCACCCUCCUAGAGUCCCACGGCUUGGACACGCAGCUCUAGUGCUCGAAGCCCAGAUCCGCGGAUACAUGAUGAACAAAGUAUUUGUCGACGGCGAAAGAGGUCUCAACCUUAUUUACGCUGACACCCUCCGAGGGAUGAAUCGUUCCAUGACAAAGCUUCCUGCAACGGACACAACCUUCCACGGCAUCAUCCCGGGCAAAGCAGCCAUGCCGCUGGGAAGAAUCAGCCUUGACGUGGUAUUCGGCUCACCCGACAAUUUUCGGUGUGAAAGGCUCGACUUCGAAGUGGUCAACUGGCCUUCACAAUACCACGUAGUGCUGAGUCGAGUCGCGCUGGCUCGCUUCAUGGCGGUGUCGCAUUAUGCUUACCUCAAGCUCAAAAUGCUAGGGCCCGACGGCGUGAUCACCGUUUCAGGGAACUUCACACACUCAGAUAAUUGCGACAAGGAGUUUCAUAAAAUCUACGAGUCCUUCGGCAUGCAUGAAGUGUUCGAGCAGCUAAAAGCUUCAACCGGUCUAGAGCAAUCACCCGUCGCAAAAAACCCGGCUCAUCAGCCCGAGUUCAACAAGAAAGCAGACACCAAGGAGGUUCAGGUCCAUCCGACUGACCCCAGCAAGACCGUUAUCAUCUCAACAAGCCUUCCUCCUGCAUAGGAAAGCGCGCUCGUCGAGUUCCUCCGUGAGCGCUAGGAAAUCUUUGCCUGGGUGCCAGCUGACAUGCCAGGAAUUCCUAGGGAACUUGCCGAGCACGCACUUAAAGUGGACGAGAACGCAAAGCCGGUGCGACAACCCAUGUGGCGUUUCUCAGAACCAAAGCGCACAGCCAUCGGGGAAGAAGUUAAACGACUCCUCGAAGCUAAAUUCAUCAGGGAGACAAAACAAGCGACCUGGGUAGCAAACCCUGUCCUUCUCCCCAAGAAGAAUAUCACAGUCCUGCAUAUGUGCGUCGACUUCACGUCGCUUAAUAAGCACUGCCCAAAGGAUCGUUUCCCUUUGCCGCGGAUCGACCAGAUCGUUGACUCAACUGCCGGCUGCGAACGAUUGUCAUUUUUGGACGCCUACUCAGGUUACAACCAGAUUCGACUCAAGGUCGAAGACGAGAAGAAUACAUCAUUUGUCACUCCAUACGGAGUUUUCAGUUACACAACAAUGUCUUUCGGGCUAAAUAACCCAGGUGCUACCUUUGCAUGCUGCAUGUAGGCAUGCCUAGAGCCUCAACUGGGAAACAAUGUCCAAGUUUAUAUCGAUGAUAUCGUCAUUAAAACGAAGAAAGAAGCAACGCUUCUCGAUGACAUACGGGUGACAUUCAAUAACCUUGACAAGUACAAAAUCAAGUUGAACCCACCAAGUGCACCUUCGGGGUACCCGCCGGGCAACUCCUUGGAUAUUUCCUACCGGCUUGAGGCAUUGAAGCAAACCCGACAAAAAUCAGAGCUAUCCUAACUAUGAAGGAGCCGACUAAAACUCAUGAGCUCCAAUAGCUCACAGGUCGACUCGCGGCUUUGAGUCGAUUCAUCGGUAGGCUAGACGAAAAAGCUUUGCCCUUUUACCAUCUUCUGGAAAAGAAGAAAGAAGAUUUCAUGUGGACCCUAGAGGCCAGUGCUGCUUUCGCAGACUUGAAGCGCCUGCUGUCAACCUCGCCGAUUCUCGUCGCCCCACAAGAAGAUGAGCAGCUCCUACUGUACAUCGCAGCCACCACCCAGGUGGUUAGCACAACGAUCGUAGUUGAGUGAGCCGAAGAAGACAAGACCCACGGCGUUCAGCGCCCAGUAUACUACAUAAGUGAGGUCCUUUCGCCUACGAAGCAAUGUUAUCCCCACUACCAAAAGCUUGCGUAUGGAGUCUUCCUAACAGCACGCAAGCUAAGACAUUAUUUCCAGCAACACACAGUUGUGGUUGUCAGCGAGGCUCCACUCGCCAACAUUCUGAACAACUCAGAAGCGACUGGGCGAGUCGCCGAAUGGGGAAUCGAGCUCUCGGCUCGCAACAGUCUGCGAAGUUCUUCGAAGAUAAAUUCUUCACGGGCAGCUGCUGCCUUCAGUUUCGCCUUAGCAACUUGCAACUCUCCCAUGGUCCUCCGACUCUACAUCGUCGAGUCCUUGGCUUGGGAUUCGGCUCCUUGGAGACGCCGACGAAGGAACUCCAGUUCACUUUGAGUCUUGUCUAAGGAAGGAACCUCCUUAGGAGCCAUUGACCCCACGGUUUUCGAAGCUUCAGGAGGGUUCACUUCAGCCGAGAUUUCGGCACUCGUGAUGUUUGACUCGGGAGUCAUGAACUUCUCGGCGUCUACUUCAACUACUGCAAUCGUGGACUCUUUCUGCCUUUGCAAAAGAGAAAUUCCCAUUAGUCCCGAGAAGGAUUCAAAGACAUCAAGCCUAACUAGGUGCAAGGUGUCCGACUCAUAUCAGUACAAAGGAACAAAGGCGUUUCUUUAUUAACAACGCUCAAACUCGAGCAAGGACCAUACAAAAAAAGAGACAAAAUUAGAAAGAGAAAAGGAGAAAGCCUAAGAAGUCUAAAAUUCAGCUUGGCCCACCUCUUGACUCGGCGCAGGUGUCGACGACUGUGGAGCCACUCCCCCUUCAGAGGCCAUACUACCCAGCUGCACGUCGCUAGUUCUUCACCGAGCUGGAAGUAAGGUGUCAGGGCCAUCUCCUCCCCGCUGGGUAGCAACGGAGGACCGGAAGCCACCUUCCGCAGCACGUCCUCGCCGAUGCCGUGCGCUAAUGCUAACACAAACGUCGACUCAGCACCAGAGUUGGUCUGGACCCAGCUGAACUCGUCCAGGGGAUCCGAGUCAGCACUGAAAAACUCUAUGAGUUUCCCAAGCGACUCCGGCACCGGCUUAUCAGGGAACAUUUUCCCAAACAAACUGGUGAGCACACGGGAAGCUUGAUGGAGACCAGUCGCCGCCUCUAAGCUGACGCUUGCCACAUCAUCAAUCACGUUCUCGAGUGAAUUCUCACUCGUGGUCAAAAGACUAGACAAGGAAAUCAGGCCUGCAAAAGAGCCAAAGCAUUAACAAGGGAUUCAAACGAAUGGAAUCAACUGCAACGUUUUUACCUGCAAGGGGGCCGACGACUCCGAUGAGUUAGAUGGCUCGCGUCUUCUCCUUCUCAGCCUCCUUGGCGAGAAUGGCGUCCGAAGCUGCUUGGGCGAGGCGUUUUUCAGCCUCUACCUUCUUUGCCGACUGCCUGGCCAGAUCACCAAACAUCUUUUUCAAAUUCUUGUACUGAAGCUCGGCGGCAUCCUUGAGGGAGUUAGACUGAGAAAGGAGAUCUACACGACAAACAAUAAGAUACGGGUAGUUUUUCGACUCAAGGAAAGAUUGAGUCAGAGGUAUUACCUUGAGCAGAUCUCAGCUCCUGUUGGCUUUGCUCCAAUUCUCGACGGAGCUGAUCGCGCACAGCCACUGCCUCCUCAUAUUGAUCAACAAUCUUCGUUAUGGAGCGGACGGUCGAUCGGCUGCGAGCAUGUUGGCGGCAGCAUCUGACUCAUACUCCCAUCGGGAGAACAAAAAACAAAAUUCAACAAGAAGAGUUCGAAACUUACAUGGCAAACUAAAGCUAAGGGAGCCUGACAAUAGGGUGACUUCGACAAUGUCCAUAUUGAUGGACUUGUAUCUAGAAAAUAUUUCGAGUGUGUGUUGGCGAACUAGCCCGUAUAGGGUUCGAUCUCUGUGCUUACUGUGCUAGUCCCUGGAUCGACUCACUAGCACAUACAGUUUCAUGAUGAAAUAUACAGAAACAAAGGUCAAAGUACUUUAUGACAUCGCAUCAUCCAGGAUUUAAAUAGUACUUACAACCUCGCAUGACCCCUUGGGCCAGCAUAAACAAAUACUGUUUCAACAUCAUAAAACAUUGUUUUCAAAACUGCAGCGGAAAAGGGUAGAACAUAAGGGCCACAACUACUCCAAGGUGAGAGCAUGUUGGAAUGUAAGCACAUGACCCACAACAUAACGACGAACCUCACUCAUCGUCGGAUCCACCUGCAUUGUUAAUUGCAGCCACUACGUGCUCAAUACAUUUGAAUGUAUUGGCAAGUUCACCUGAAGCGAUCCCCUUCUCCAAGGGUUCGAUCUCUGUGCUUACUGUGCUAGUCCCUGGAUCGACUCACUAGCACACAGAGUUUCAUGAUGAAGUAUACAGAAACAAAGGUCAAAAGUACUUUAUUACAUCGCAUCAUCCAGAAUUUAAAUAGUACUUACAACCUCGCAUGACCUCUGGGGCCAGCAUAAAAACAGUACUGUUUCAACAUCAUAAAACAAUGUUUCAAAAUAUUGCAGCGGAAAAGGGUAGAACAUAAGGGCCACACUACUCCAAGGUGAGAGCAUGUUGGAAUGUAAGCACAUGACCCAUGACAAAACGACGAACCUCACUCAUCGUCGGAUCCACCUGCAUUGUUAAUUGCAGCCACUACGUGCUCAAUACAUUUGAAUGUAUUGGCAAGCUCACUAGAGUUAUAAAGGACCUACCAAGUACAUGCAUAGUUUGGCUAAGUGGGGUUUGGCUAUUUUGCAUAAAAGCAUCAUUAUUCAAAUCCUAUCAUUUUUAGACAAAAAGUUUUGAAUUCUAUUGGACACGGGGUAGAAACACCCAUGCUCCUAUUAACCUAGGCACAUUGAGUAGAAACAUCAAUGCUCCUACCCAGUUCAAACCAUUCGUUUUAUUAGGAAAUUGGAAUGAGUGAGACUUUCCUUACAGCUCCAAUAGACGCUCCCGAAUCACACGGAGAGACGACUCAGCGGGCCCCAUAGAAAUGGACCUAACGUCACGACAUCCGAAAACUCAAAGCAGCCCACCCAGGACGGUUCAUUGAAUUACUUGUUUUGCCAUACACUAGGAAAAACUAUAUUUGUAAUUCAAUAGUAUCACAUUAUAAUAAUACCACCCUCGUAUAUUAUCAUAGCAUAGCAUUUUACUACUACGAUGGCAAUUGGUGGUAAGGUCAUGACAAAGGGUAUCCUAUACUACUAGGACAGAUCAUAGCUAGCAUAGAUACAAUAUUAAUCCUAACAAUGCAACUAAUGAAAACUAGUGCAUAAUAAAAUAAUGGGAUGAUGGUCAAAGUGAACUUGCCUUGAUAGUAGUUGGUAUUCAGACACUCUUCAUAGUCACACAGUUCGCUCUCCGAGAAAACUAUACUAUCAGGCAAACAUACACAUACAUAAACACACCAUACAAGCAAAAGAAUAUGUAUGUCAUGAUGCAAUGCAAAACAUGUGACAUGAGUUUGGUUUAUUUCAUUUGGGUGAUCUGCUGAUCCAAUGCCUUGAGAAUCAAACACAUGUAAUUAGGGUUUUUAAGCAAAAGCAAAAGUUAGGGUUUAAAUCCUAAAAUGAGGUUUUAUUUGCAUCUGCAAAACAAUUUAAUUCAAAAUAUUUAUUUCUCUGCCCCAUUGGACAGAGGACAUUAGAACAAAAUUUUGGGCACUGGUUUCAUUCAAAAAGGACUUCUAAAUAAUUAGUUAUGAUUUAAAUGGCAUAAAACCCUAAUCUGUGAUUUGAAUGUGAUUAAAAUAUUCAAAUUUGAAUUUGGGCAGUGCAAAAAUAUUCUACACUUCCUAAGGAUUCCAAAAAGGUGUGGAUCACUAAAUUUGGACAAACAGAUUUAAAGUUAUGAUCAUUUGAAGUUACAGGGGCCUAUCUGCAAAAAGACCAUUUAAUUAUUCCGGGGGAUUAAAAUUACAUUCUCAUUUUAUAAACCAGGGGCCACGUGGCACGUUAUCAUUGGAUGGUACCGGUUCGGUUUAUAAAUAAAUCCGAGCCGUUAGAUCUAACUUAUAAAGAUCGGACGCUCCACAGUGCGUACCGGUUCGUUUUAUAAGUGAUCUAAUCCCAGCCAUCGAUCUAGAUCAGACGGACGAGGGGCUAGGGUUUCUUACCGGGCGGCGGCGGGCUGCCGGAGUUGGAGGAGACGGCGGCGCGGGCACGGGCACGGCGGCGCGGGGCUCUCCGGCGAGGCUGGCGACACGGGGGUGGUCGGGAACGGCGCGGCGCGGCACGGCGGAGACGGGGCCGCGGUCGGCGUGGGCUCGGGCGGCGCGGGUCGGUGCCUAGGACGGGACGAGCGGGCGGCGCGGGCGGCGGACGGCGGGCGGGGUGCUCCGACGAGGCUGGCGACGCGGGGAGUUCACGGGGAGACGCGGCGCGGCACGGCGGAGACGGGGGCGCGGUCGGACUGCGGCGAGAAAUCGGGGCAGCCUGGCGGCGCGAUUGGAUGGGGAAACAAGGGGGAAAGAGAGAGGGGGUCGCGGGGGUUAUAAAGGCGUGCUCGGGCAUGAAAAUGGAAGGCCGGAGGAGGAGAUUGCGGCGGCGGGCGCGCGGGGACGGCGGCCAGAAAUCGCGCGCGUGACCGGCGGCGCUUUCCUUCAGGGAAGACGCAGCUGACAGGUGGACCCCACCUGUCAGCGACUGCGGGCGCGCGCGCGCGGACCGGGCGGUCUGGGCCGGUUGGGUGCGGUCGGACGGGGCCGGUUCGGCCCAUUUUGGCCGGGCCGGUCCGGUUUACCCCCUUUUUUUUUCUUUUAGGCCUUUUCUUUUUCUGCUUUUCUCAUUUCUUUGAUAUCUUUUGUGUUUGAACUCCAAAUUGGUCCAAAUAAAUUCCAGAAAAUUUGUAAAAUCAUAUUCUACCAUGAGACAAGUUUUGGGAGUAGUUUCUCCUCAAAAUAAAAUAUAUAAAAAUACAUUUGUCCUAUAAAUGCCUUUAGGGCUAUAUAUCUAUUUGAAUAUAAUACUUUUUCAACUCCAAAAAUUAUCCAAAAAAAAAUAUGGGAUAGCUCAUAUAUGCAGUAAACCCCUUUUAUACAUAAAAUCUAUUGGUUUGAAAAUCCAAACUCAAAUGGGUGUAAACCCUAGGGUUUAAAAUGAAAUAAAGAAUCUUUCCAAAGCCUUUUGAGAUUCAAAAUUUGAAUUCAAAUAUGAAAUUGUGGCAUGAUGCUCAUGGAUGCAAUGCACAUGUAAAAGCUUGAAAUUUUGGGAUGUUACAUCACCAGAGUUAUAAAGGACCUACCAAGUACAUGCAUAAUUUGGUUAGGAGGGGUUUGGCUAUUUGCAUAAAAGCUUCAUUGUUCAAUCCUAUCAUUUCUAAACAAAUAGUUUUAAUUCUGUUGGACACGGGGUAGAAACACCCAUGCUCCUAUUAACCUAGGCACAUUGAGUAGACACAUCAAUGCUCCUACCCCAGUUCAAUCCAUUCAUUUUAUUAGGCAAUUGGAAUGACUGAGACCUUCCUUACAGCCCCCAUAUCUAGUUGCUCAUGAUUGUCCGUAACCGGGGACACGGCUAAAUACUUAGUUUGACAGUCUCGAGAGGUUGUACACAUUCCCCACAAGAAAUCGACGUGUUAAUCCCUUGCUGUCCUUCGAGUGGACUAGCAACGGCAUCGACUUCAAGAAUUUUCAGAACAUAUUCACCCAGACCACCUAAGGGACCCGCGCUCCCACCUGCACAACUACCUCAGUACAAUCCCUCAGAUCUGGGUUCAUAUUUCUUACUCCAUCCAGUCAGAGCCCAUAUUAGCUUGUGGUUGUACUGGAAGCUACUAAACAGGAAACUAGUCCAGUCUCUGAUACCCCAGGUGGCAUUCCACAUUUGCGACGCAAGCGCUCCCCGAAUCCAUGGAAGAGACGUCCAUGGACGAUCCAUCUCCGAAUCCACGGAGACUCGACUCAGAGGGACCCACAAAAAUGGAUCUGACGUCGCACAACAUCUCGAAUACUCAAAGCAGCCCACCCAGGACGGUUCAUUGAAUUACUUGUUUUGCCAUACACUAGGAAAACCAUACUUUAAUUCAAUAAUAUCACAUUGUAAUAAUACCACCCUCGUAUACUAACAUAGCAUAGCAUUUGACUACUACGAUGGCAAUUGGUGGUGAGGACAUGGCAAUGGUAUCCUAUACUACUAGGAAUUCAUAGCUAGCAUAAAUACAAUAAUAGUUCUAUCCAUGCAACUAAUAAAACAUCAAGGUGAACUUGUCUUGGUAGCAGUUGGUAUUCAAGCACUCUUCAGAAUCACACUGAUCGCUCUCCGGGAAAACUAAAUCAAAUACAAACAAUACAUACAUAAACAUACAAUAUAAUCAAAUGAAAAAGAGUAUGCCAUGAUGCAAUGCAGAACAUGUGACAUGAGUGGGUUAAUUUUAUUCAGUUGAUCAACUGGUCCAAAGCAUUAGCGUUUAGAAAAAAAAACAUUGGGUUUAAAAACAUAUUGCAAAAACUAGGGUUUAAACCCUAAUACAAGGUUUUAUUUGCAUCAGCUAAACAAUUUAAUUCAAAAUAUUUGUUUCUCUGUCCCAGGGGACAGAGGACAUUUAAACAAACUUUUGGGCGCUGGUUUCAACUAAAAAGGAUUUCUAAAUAAUUAUUUAUGAAUUAAAUAGCAUAAAACCCUAUUCUGUAAAUUGACUGAGGUUAAAAUAUUCAAAUUUAAAUUUAAACGGUGCCAAAAGUUUCUACAGGUUGAGAGCUUUCCAAAAUGGUAAAGUUUGUCAAAUUUGGCCAAAGGGUUUAAAAGUUAUAGGCAUUUGAAGUUACAGGCGUUUUCUGCAAAAGUGCCAUUUAAAUAAACCGGGGGAUUUAAAUUUACAUUUUUAUUUUUCUAUUAAAGUGCCACGUGUCAGCUUCUCAUUGGACGGGCGAGGGGCAUCGGGCUCACCUCCGGGAAACCCUAGGGUUCCGGCGAGGUCGUCGGCAGCGGCGCGGUGCGGGCGGGGCGGCGGACGGGGUUCCGGGGGUCGCCGGGCUCAGGGAAGGAGACGGGCGUGAGCGGCGCGACGAGACGAAGGCUGUGACGCGGUCGGCGUGGCGAGAUGAGGUUCAAGGCAACGCCUAGGAUGACGGAGGGUCUCGGCGGCGUGGGCGCGGGCUUUGGCGAGGUCGGGCGGCGCUACUCCGGCUGCUAGGGUGCACCAAAGACGAAACCGUGCACGUCAACACAUGCGCACUGUCGAGAGGGUCCAGAAAUUUCAAGGCUCGGGCGAGGAGACUCACCGGCGAGGUUGACCAGAGGCGAAAACGGCGGCGGCUGGCUCCUUGCUCGGGCGAGGAAAUUCGGCGUUGUGGGCACGUGAGAGUGAGGGCAAACAGAGGGAAAGAGAAGAGAGGAGACUCGGCUUUAUAGGGGCACGCUCGGGCAGCUUCGGGAAGCACGGAAUCGGCGGAUUCCAGAGAUGGCGGCGGCGCGGUUUCCGGCGCGGACUCGGCGGCGUGACGCGGGCGCUUUCCAUCAUGGACGAAGGCCUGACAGGUGGGCCCUACCUGUCAGCGACGGGCGCGGGCGCGGGGCGCUGUUGAGCUGGACUGCGCGUGCGCAUGCAUGAGGAAUGGGCCUGUUCGGCUCAAAUCGGCCGGGCCGGUCCGUUUCUCCAUUUUUUUUCUUUGGACUUUUCUUUUUUUUUCUUUUUCUGAUUUCUUUGAUAUCUAUUAUUUUUGAACUCCAAAUUGGUCCAAAUAAAUUCCAGAAAAUUUGUAAAAUCAUGUUUUAUCAUGAUUCAACUUUUGGGAGUAAUUUCCCCUCAAAAUAAAAUAUAUAAAAAUACAUUUUCCCUAUAAAUGCCUUUAGGGCUUUACAACUAUUUAAAUAAAAUAGUUUUUCAACUCGAAAUAAAUAUCCAAAAAUUAUGGGAUAGUUUAUUUAUGCAAUAAACCCUUUUAUAACUAAACCCUAUUGGUUUGAAGAUCCAAAUCUCAAAUGGGUGAAACCCUAGGGUUUAAAUUGAAAUAAAAUCUUUUUAAAGCCUUGUGAGAUUCAAAUUUGAAUUCAAAAAUGCAAUUGUGGCAUGAUGCUCAUGGAUGCAAUGCAUAUGAAAUGUUUUAAAAUUUUGGGAUGUUACAGACCUAAGCCCCUUAAGAUGAAUCUCGUCCUCGAGAUUCGGUUUGGCUAGCAAAGAGGUGCGGGUGGUCUUCUCGAAGAUCAUCUUCGCGCUCCCAUGUGGCUUCCUCUUCUGUGUGAUGGUCCCAUUGAACUUUGCAAAACUUGAUGGUCUUGGAUUGGGUAUGUCUCUCGGCUGUAUCCAAGAUCCUGAUCAGUUUCACCUCAUAGAUGAGGUCACUUUGCAGCUGGACCUGCUCGAGCGGAAUUGUAUCCCUCAACGGUGUGUCGGCCAUCUCGGGGUGACACUUCUUCAGUUGCGAUACAUGGAAGACAUUGUGGACAUUCGACAGUGCUUCCGGUAAGUCCAAUUUUUAGGCCACCUCUCCUUGGCGUGACAAGAUCUUGAAAGGUCCAAUGAAACGGGGUGCCAGCUUUUCGUUGAUUCCAAAUCUCUUAACUCCGCGUAUCGGUGAAACUUUGAGAUACGCUCUAUCCUCAGCCUCGUAGGUAACCUCCCUACGUUUGGAAUCUGCGUAGCUCUUCUGCCUUGACUGAGCUACCUUCAGUCUGUCUCGGAUGAGUCUAACCUUUUCCUCAGCAUCCUUUAUCAUAUCCGGGCUGAACAGGCUACGGUCUCCUACACCAUCCCAUAACAAUGGUGUUCUGCACUUCCUUCCAUACAACGCUUCAAAAGGUGACAUUCCUAUGCUGGCUUGGAAGCUGUUGUUGUAUGAAAAUUCUGCAUACGGCAGGUUGUCAUCCCAACUGGAUCCAUAAUCUAGAGCGCAGGCUCUCAACAUAACCUCAAGGAUCUGAUUUAUCCUCUCGGUCUGUCCAUCCGUCUACGGAUGAAAAGCUGUGCUGAACUGUAGUCUCGUUCCUAGAGACUCAUGUAGUUGUCCCCAAAAUCUUGAGGUAAAUUGGGUGCCUCUGUCUGAAACUAUUUGCUUGGGUACUCCAUGUAAACACACUAUUCUGGAUAUGUAGCGUUUUGCUAACUAUACGCAGGUGUAUGUGGUCUUCACGGGUAUGAAGUGGGCAACUUUGGUCAAACAGUCGACCACUACCCAAAUGGAAUCAUAUCCUGAUCUGGUCCUUGGUAAACAGGUGAUAAAAUCCAUGCCAACUUUAUCCCAUUUCCAGUCUGGUAUUGGCAGUGGUCUUAGCAAUCCUGCUGGUUUCUGGUGUUCUGCCUUAACUCUGCUGCACACAUCACACAAGGCAAUGAAUUCUGCGAUGUCUCGCUUUAAUCCGGACCACCAAAAUGUUUCCUUGAAGUCCAUGUACAUCUUCGUGUUUCUAGGGUGGAUUGAGUACGGUGAGUCGUGGGCUUCUUGCAAUAUCAACUUUCUGAUCUCCGGAUCCUGCGGUACGCAAAUGCGUUUUCCGAACCAUAUGGUACCCUGGUCGUCUUCUCGAAAAUCCUUGGCCUUUCCGAUAAGUUUAUUCUCUUUUAUCGCAUUUAUUUCUGAUUCACCCUUCUGUGCUUUUCUGAUCCUGUCUAGCAACGUGGGUUGUACUUCCAAAGUGGCCAAAUGUCCUUCCGAUACAAUUUCUAGUCUCAGGUCCUUGAAUUGUUUGCAUAACUCUGGCGGUAAUUCUCCCACUGUCAGACCGUUCACAUAGCCCUUGCGGCUCAAAGCAUCGGCGACAACAUUAGCCUUGCCAGGGUGGUAUUGUAGACUUAGGUCAUAAUCCUUUAUCAGUUCCAACCAUCUCCGCUGUCUCAGGUUCAGCUCCUUCUGGGUGAAUAUAUACUUUUGGCUCUUGUGAUUCUUGAACAACUCACAGUGCUUCCCCAUCAGGUAGUGUUUCCUAGUCUUCAAGGCAUGCACUACUGAUGCUAAUUCCAAAUCAUGCGUGGGGUAGUUGCCUUCGUGGCUCUUUAGUUGCCGCGAAGCGUAUGCUACAACUCUUCCUCCCUGCAUUAAUACUCCUCCCAAACCUUGACGUGAAACGUCGCAAUAAACUUGAAAGUCUUCUUGCAGGUUUGGUAAUACAAGAAUAGGUGCGGACACCAAUCUCUUCUUUAACUCCUGGAAACUCUCUUCACAUGUCUCGUUCCAGGCGAACAUCUCUUUCUUUAAUAGUUUAGUCAUGGGUUUAGCAAUUUUGGAGAAGUUCUCAAUGAAUCUCCGAUAAUAUCCCGCAAGUUCUAGGAAACUGCGGAUAUCUCCAAUGUUCUUAGGUGACUCCCAUUCUGUAACAGCUGUCACCUUAGCUGGGUCGACAGCUACUCCGGCUCCUGACACAAUGUGUCCAAGGAAACUGACUUCUGACAGCCAAAAGUCACACUUGCUGAACUUGGCGUACAACUUGUGCGCUCUCAGCUUCUCCAGAAUCAUGCGCAGAUGCUGCUCAUGCUCUUCUUUGCUCUUGGAAUAAAUCAAAAUGUCAUCGAUGAAUACCACCACAAACUUGUCCAAGAAUUCCAUGAACACCUUGUUCAUCAUGUUCAUGAAGUAUGUGGGUGCAUUGGUCAAACCAAAAGGCAUCACGGUGUACUCAUACAGACCAUACCUAGUGGUGAAAGCUGUUUUGGGUAUAUCUGCCUCUCGGAUCUUCAGCUGAAAAUACCUUGAUCGCAGAUCGAUCUUUGAGAACACUUGAGCUCCCUUCAAUUGAUCGAAAAGAUCACUGAUUAUGGGCAAAGGAUAUUUAUUCUUUAUCAUCACCUCAUUUAGUGAACGAUAGUCAAUGCACAUCCGUUGGCUCUUGUCCUUCUUUUCCACAAAUAGGACAGGUGCUCCCCAUGGUGAUGAACUGGGGCGGAUGAAUCCUUUCGCUAACUGCUCAGCCAACUGCUUCUUCAAUUCUUUCAAUUCAUCCACAGCCAUCUUAUACGGUCUCUUAGCUAUGGGUCCACUUCCUGGCAUUAACUCGAUGAGGAACUCAACAUCACGGUCCGGUGGCAUGCCCGGUAACUCCUCUGGGAAUACGUCUGGAUACUCAUUCACUAUCGGAACCCCGUCCAGGCUAACCCCUUAAGAGAAUUGACCUUAGGUCUCUUAAGUUCAAAAGCCGACUUGAAACGGAUUCUCUUAUUCUCUGGGGUGGUGAGGGUGAUGGUCCUUCUGACACAGUCUAUGAGUCCCUCAUAUUUGGCCAGCCAAUCCAUUCCUAGGAUGACAUCCAAACCCUUGGACCCUAUUAUCAUUAGGUUUGUGGGGAAGGUGUGUUUCCCUAUUUCCAAGCUUAGCCCGCGGCUGUCAUAGGCGCCUAUCAAUUCUCCCCUUGGUGAAUUUACUUUCAUGGGGUUUGCUAGUGUGCUAAUAGGUAAUCCAUUUUUAUGCACAAAUCCUCUUGAGAUGAAUGAAUGAGAUGCACCGGUAUCAAACCGUACUAAAGCUUUAAAUGAAUCAAUGCUAAAGAUACCGAUGACUAUACCUUGCUCCUCGGUGAUCUCUUCCACGUCGAUGUGGUUCACGUUGCCCUUCUGGAAUGGGUUUGGUUUAACCACGUUCCCUCCAAAUCUCUCCGGGCAAUCGUUGGAGUAGUGCCCCAUCUUGUGGCACUUGUAGCACUCCACCUGGCUCAUGUCCCUGCCAGGGUUGCGGUUCUGUCCGGCUCCAUUGCCGUUGGUGUGGCCCUUUCCAUUUCCACUUUGGUUUCCACCUCCAUUGUGGUUACCAUUCCCGUUGUGGUGCCUCGGGCGCUGCUGCUGCUGGUGCUGGUGCUGAUGCUGCUGGUGCUUGCUGCUGCUGUUGUUUUCGGCAUGGCGGUUCUGAUGGUCAUACCCUCCAUUGCGUCUGUUGUUGUGGCCCCCGACCCUGUGCACAGACAAACUGCCGCUGCCGUCCUGGGUGAUGCGCGGCUUCUGAGGUGGCCCCGCGUGAGAGCCUCCUUGAUGGAGUCUCCUCUUGCGGUUCUCCAGUUGGUGGAGCUUGUUCUUCAACACAAUCGCCUUGUCAAUGAGCGAUUGGUAGGUAGGAGUGUAAGCAAUAGCCAACUGAACGGAGAGUUCAUCGUUCAGCGCGUCCAAGAACCUCUCUCGGCGCUUAGCAUCCAUGUUCACCUCGUCCGGUGCAUAGCGGGCGAGGUUAUUGAACUGGUCGAUGAACUCAAUCACCGUGCGACUUCCAUGUCUGAGCUGUAGGAACUCCUUCUUCUUCAAAUUAAGCACCCCCGCUGAGAUAUGGGCGGUGCGGAAAGCUUCUUGGAACAUGUCCCAAGUGACUUGCUCGAUCGGGGUGGUGAUCUGGUAAUUUUCCCACCACGAUGCAGCCGGUCCUUCAACCAGAUGGGUUGCAAACCGCACUUUCUCUUCCUCAGUGCAGUUGAUGGUCACCAAGUUCUUGUUAACUGAGCGGAGCCAGUCGUCCGCCACUAUUGGCUCGGGUGAGCUGGAGAAAGUGGGUGGGCGCAAUCGCAAAUACCUGGUCAGCAUAUCCACUUGUGGAGGGUGGUGUUGUUGAUUGUUGUUGUUCUGUUGGUUGUUGUUGGCCAUCUGCUGGGUAAUCAGUUGUAGAAAUUGGGUCUGUGCUACCAACAGUUGCUGCAUGGUUGCAGCGUUCCCGUCUGUCUCGGCAUUGCCGGCCUCAGUGUUGUUGGCAGGGUUCUGGCGUCUCGGAGGCAUCUGUUUAGGGUAGCAUAGAUGAGGAAACAGAUAGAAUAGAGCUAAGGAUGUCUAAGCCCCCACAAAACCAGAUAUUAACACAAGCAUAUCUCAAUCAUACACUCAAUCAUUCAUAAAAAGUUUUGAAAAAGAUAGCAAAUCACACUUGUUCAUGAUGGGGUACUGCCCAUAAGAAAAGAGUACGGGAAAAAGCAAUCGAUCUACAUUGCCAUACACAUAGCUUGUAUGGUCAAUGACUAACUCGCCAAAACUGAUAAUGAUAAAGACUGAUAAAACUGGCAGGCAUCGACUUGUACUAAGGAAGUGUGGCUAAUGGUGCGGUCCCGUUCGCCUUCCUCUUGGAGCGAGUGUUGGAGGCAGGGGUGUCCAUCUCGUGAACCUCCUGGGGCUCCUCCUCCUCAGUCGGUACCUCCUCCUGAGGCUCCAUCUCCUGAUCCUGUGGCGGAGGUGGGAUCUGAACAGGCGCCGGUGCAGUAGCUGGCACGGCUGCAGGUGCGGCAGCGGCCACGAUGAAAGCUUGGAACUGCUCGCAGUAGUAGCGAGCAUGGUCCCUCUCAUACUGCAGCUGCUCUAUGGCUCCUCCCAUGUUGAGGACAGUGUUCUCCAACACGGUCUUGUCCUCCUGCCACUGGGCCUUCUCUCUCAUUAGAUUACCGACCUGCUCCUCGGCUAGGUCGGCCCUAGUCAUCUCGUGUUCGAGGCAAGACUCUAAGUCCACUGUGUUUGCCUCCAUGUUUUCGAAGUGGGUCGUCACCGGGGUUGCAUCCUCGUCAUUGGUUGUUGCCACGGCCGAGCAUGCAUGGUUCCGCCUUCCAAAGAGACGGAAAGGGGAGUCCUCGGGAAACUCGUGCCGAUAGUCCCGGCACACCUGCGCGAAGGCGCACUGCAUGGCGAACUGAAGGCCUUGCUCGAAGGUGGGGUAGCGGCUGAUGAAGGUGAUAUCCGGCGUUGCUGGCGCGAUCUCACGCCCGCGGAUCUUCGCCUCGAUCUCCGAAUCCACGGAGACUCGACUCAGAGGGACCCAUAGAAAUGGACCUAAUGUCGCACAACAUCUCGAAUACUCAAAGCAGCCCACCCAGGACAGUUCAUUGAAUUACUUGUUUUGCCAUACACUAGGAAAACCAUACUUUCCUUUUAUACCAAAUCUCUUUACCCCGCGUAUCGGCGAAACUCUGAGAUACGCUCUUCCUUCAAUCUUGUAGGUAACUUCCCUACGUUUGGAGUCUGCAUAGCUCUUCAGCCUUGACUGAGCUACUUUCAGCCGGUCUCGGAGAGUCUAACCUCUUCCUUGGCAUCCUUUAUCAUAUUCGGACCGAAUAGGCUACGGUCUCCUACACCAUCCCAUAACAAUGGUGUUCUGCACUUCCUUCCAUACAAAGCUUCAAACGGUGACAUUCCUAUGCUGGCUUGGAAGCUGUUGUUGUACGAGAAUUCUGCAUACGGCAGGUUGUCAUCCCAACUGAAUCCAUAAUCUAGAGUGCAGGCUCUCAACAUAUCUUCAAGGAUAUGAUUAACCCUCUCGGUUUGUCCAUCCGUCUGCGGAUGAAAAGCUGUGCUGAACUCUAGUCUCGUUCCUAGAGACUCAUGUAGUUGUCCGCAAAAUCUUGAGGUAAAUUGGGUGCCUCUGUCUGAAACUAUUUCCUUAGGUACUCCGUGUAAACACACAAUUUUGGAUAUGUAGCAUUUCGCUAACUGUGCACUGGUGUAAGUGGUCUUCACUGGUAUGAAGUGGGCAACCUUGGUCAACGAUCAACCACUACCCAAAUAGAAUCAUAUCCUGAUCUGGUCCUUGGUAGACCGGUGAUAAAAUCCAUGCUAACUUUAUCCCAGCUCCAGUCUGGUAUUGGCAGCGGUCAUAGCAAUCCUGCGGGUUUCUGGUGCUCUACCUUAACCCUGCUGCACACAUCGCACAAGGCAAUGAAUUCUGCGAUGUCUCGUUUUAAUCCGGACCACCAAAAUGUUUCCUUUAGGUCCAUGUACAUCUUUGUGUUCCUAGGGUGGAUUGAGUACGGUGAGUCUUGGGCUUCUUUUAAAAUCAGCUUCCUGAUUUCCGGAUCCUGCGGUACGCAAAUGCGUUUUUCGAACCAUAUGGUACCCUGGUCAUCCUCACGAAAAUCUUUGGCUUUUCCGAUAACUAUAUUCUCUUUUAUUGCAUUUAUUUCUGAGUCACCCUUCUGUGCUUUUCUAAUCUUAUCCAGCAACGUGGGCUGUACUUCCAAAGUGGUUAAAUAACCUUCUGGUACUAUUUCCAGUCUGAGGUCUUUGAACUGUUCGCACAAUUCUGGCGGUAAUACCCCAGCUGUCAGUCCAUUUAUAUAGCCCUUGCGGCUCAAUGCAUCGGCUACAACAUGAGCCUUGCCGGAAUGGUAUUGCAGACUCAGGUCAUAAUCCUUUAUCAGUUCCAACCAUCUUCUCUGUCUCAGGUUCAAUUCCUUCUGGGUGAAUAUGUAUUUUAGGCUCUUGUGAUCCGUGAACAAUUCACAGUGUUUCCCCAUCAGGUAGUUACUCCAAGUCUUCAAGGCAUGCACUACUGAUGCUAGUUCCAAGUCAUGCGUGGGGUAGUUACCUUUGUGGCUCUUUAGUUGCCGCGAAGCAUACGCUACAACUCUUCCUCCUUGCAUUAACACUCCUCCCAAUCCUUGACGUGAGGCGUCACAGUAUACUUGAAAAUCCUCUUGCAGAUCAGGCAAAAUAAGGAUGGGCACAGACACUAGUCUUUUCUUCAACUCCUGAAAACUUCCUUCACAAUUCUCGUUCCAAGGGAACUUCUUCUCCUUCUUUAAGAGCUCGGUCAUAGGUUUUGCUAUUUUGGAGAAAUUCUCAAUGAACCUCCGGUAGUAACCAGCAAGUCCUAGAAAGCUGCGGACAUCACCGACAUUCUUAGGUGCUUCCCAUUCGGUCACUACUGCUACCUUAGCUGGGUCGACAGCUACUCCUGCUCCUGACACGAUGUGCCCUAGAAAACUGACUUCUGAUAACCAAAAUGCACACUUGCUGAAUUUGGCAUACAACUUGUGCGCUCUCAGCUUCUCCAAAAUCAUGUGCAGAUGCUGCUCAUGUUCUUCCUUGCUCUUGGAAUAAAUCAAGAUGUCAUCGAUGAACACUACGACAAACUUGUCCAAGAAUUCCAUGAAUACCUUGUUCAUCAUGUUCAUGAAGUAUGCAGGUGCAUUGGUCAAACCAAAAGGCAUCACGGUGUACUCAUACAGUCCAUACCUAAUGGUGAAAGCUGUUUUGGGAAUGUCCAUCUCUCUGAUCUUCAGCUGAAAAUACCCUGAUCACAGAUCGAUCUUUGAGAACACACAGGCUCCUUUCAACUGAUCGAAAAGAUCGUUAAUUAUAGGUAAGGGGUACUUAUUCUUUAUCGUCACUUCAUUCAGUGAGCGAUAAUCUAUGCACAUCCGUUGGCUCUUGUCCUUCUUCUCUACAAACAGGACAGGUGCUCCCCAUGGUGAUGAGCUGGGGCGAAUGAAACCUUUCGCUAACUUUUCAGCUAGCUGCUUCUUCAAUUCCUUCAAUUCACCCACAGCCAUCUUAUAUGGUCUCUUGACCAUGGGUCCACUUCCAGGCAUCAACUUGAUAAGAAAGUCUACAUCACGGUCUGGUGGCAUACCUAGCAACUCUUCCGAGAAAACAUUCGGGUAUUCCUUCACUAUGGCUACAUCCUCCAUGCUAACCCCCUUAAAAGAAUUGACCUUAGGUCUCUUAAGUUCCAUAGUAGACUUGAAGCGGAUUCGCUUCUUCUCAGGGGUUGUGAGUGUAAUUGUUCUCUUGGCACAGUCUACAAGUCCUUCGUAUAAGGUCAUCCAGUCCAUUCCCAGAAUUAUGUCUAGACCUCGGAAAUCUAACACAAUAAGGUCAGAGGGAAAAAUGUGUUUCCCAAUCUCUAGGGGUAACUGGCGGCAUCCUUGAGUCGCUACCAUUUGUCCUCCAGGUGAACUCACUCUCAAAGGGUUUCUUAGGGUGUUUAUAGGUAUCUUAUUCUCGUUCACGAACAUUCUUGAUAUGAAUGUAUGUGAUGCACCCGUGUCAAAGAGUACGAGUGCUUGGAAAGAAUUCACGCGGAAUGUUCCAAUUACAAUGCUCGGCUCUGAGAUUUCUUCCACACUGACCCGGUUCACAUGACCUUCCAGGAACGGGGUGGGCUUGACUCCAUUCCCUUCGAACCUCUCUGGGCAAUCGUUCGAGUAGUGCCCCAUCUUGUGGCACUUGAAACAUUCCACUUGACUCAGGUCAAACUGGGUAAAGUCGUCAUUCUGAUUCUGCUCGUUGUUGUUUCCACUGCCCUGACCAUUGCUCUUGUGCUGUUGUCGGCGUCCAUUCCCAUGAUAGUGCUCAUGGUGGCCAUUCUCUCCAUGGAUAUGAUGGUGGUGGUGGCUUCCAUGUUUGAUCCUUGAUGAACUACCACCAUCUCCAUAAGAGGUGCGUGGCUUCUGGUGUGGUCCAGUGUUAAUGCUUCCAUGGCGAUGUCUUCUCUUGCAGCCCUCAAUCUGGUUUAUCUUGUCUUCCAAGAUAAAGGCUUUGUCUAUCAGGGACUAAUAGGUGGGGGUGUAAGAAACUCAUAGCUGAACGGAAAGCUCGUCGUUCAGUCCAUCCAAAAACUUCUCACGGCGCUUGGCAUCGGUAUUGACUUAUCAGGUGCAUAGCGAGACAGCUUGUUGAAUUCCUCAAUAUAUUCCAUCACGGUGCGGGUUCCUUGCUUCAGUUUGUGGAACUUCUUCUUCCUCAGGCUUAGCACUCCCGUAGAGAUAUGGGCGGUGCGGAAAGCAUCCUGGAACAUCUCCCAAGUGAUAUCCUCAAUCGGGUUGGUGAUCAGGUAGUUCUCCCACCAUAAUGUGGCUGGUCCCUCCAAUAGGUGUGCUGCAAACCUCACUUUCUCAGCGUCUGUGCAGCCCAUAGUCAUUAAGUUCUUGUUCACUGAACGUAGCCAGUCAUCUGCUACCAUGGGUUCAGUGGAGGUGGUGAAAGUAGGUGGGUGCAACUUCAGAAAUCUUGUAAGCAUAUCCACCUGAGGUGAUGGGUUGGGGUGUUGGUUAUUCUGGUCAAUGUUCUGGUGGCUGGUCAUCUUCUGGGUUAUCAACUGGAAAAAUUGAGCCUGGGCUGCCAGCAGAGUCUGCACAUUAACUGAUUUGUUGUUCCCUUCCUCAUGGUUGUCACUGUUGUUGGUGGUGUGUGAUCUGUUGUUGUUAGGGGUACGUCUUGGAGGCAUCUGUUUAGGAUAGCAUAGAUGAGAAGAUAGACAGAUGGGGUAUAAAAGAAACUUAACCCAACAGCAGGCAAGUAAGGCAUAACAAUCACCAACCAAGUAAGAUCCAGCAAACUAAUGACAUAGUUCAGGCAUCCAAGCCCAAGAAAAGAAGUUUCAAAAGCAAACGAACAAAGUUUUCGUUAUCCAAAAUAAUUUACUACUAUCAUUUGUGGCCAUCAAUAAAUCCAAAAGUGACAGCUCACAAAUUACGUCUACCGUGACUAAGUAUGCUGGUUUCGAUGUAUGAAAACCUUCAAAACUGGAUGAGAGAGUGAAAGAACUGGACGAGGAUAGAAUAUGAGAGUUUUCAAAAAUAAGUUUAGUUUGGUAAUAGGUACCUAAUAAGAUAAUUCAUAUCUAAGGGUCACGAAUCUACAGGCAACACAAUGCUCUGAUACCAUCUAAAGCGAUCCUCCCCCUUACAGGGUUCGAUCUCUGUGCUUACAGUGCUAGUCCCUGGAUCAACUCGCUGGCACACACAGUUUCAAGAUGUAAUAUCAAGAUACAAAGGUCAAAAGUGUAUUACAUCGCAUUGAUCCAGAAUUUUAAUAAUACCUUAUAUUGCAUAACCUCAUGGGUUAGCUCAAAAGAAAAGAAAAUCUUGCAGCGGAAAGCAGAAGAUGCGUGAGUCCCAUAACAACUCCACCGUCAAAACAUGUUGGAAUGUAAACUCGCAACCCUAACAAUUCGUACCUCACUUUUCACCUGGUUCACCUGCAACAUUUAAACGUUGCAGCCACUAGGGAGUCAAUACAUUGAAUGUAUUGGCAAGAUUCACAAAGGAGUUAUAACAGAUCCUGUCAAGUAUAUGCAGUAUUUGGCAAGGUGGGGUUUGGCUAAUUGCAUAAAAGCAUCAAUGUAACAUCCUAUCAUUUUAUUAAAUAGUUUUAUCACUAUUGGACACGGGGUAGAAACACCCAUGCUCCUAUUAACCUAGAGCACAUUGAGUAGAAACAUCAAGUGCCCCUACCUUGUUCAAACCAUUCAUUUUAUUUAAGAAAUUGGAAUGAGUGAGACCUUCCUUACAGUUCCCAAAUCUAGUUGCUCAUAAUUGUCCGUAACCGGGGACACGGCUAAGUACUUAGUUUGACACUCUCGAGAGGUUGUACACAUUCCCCACAGAAAUCGACGUGUUAAUCCCUUGCUGUCCUCAGGGUAGAGUAGCAACGGCAUCGAUUACAGGAAUUUUCAGACAAUAAUCACCCAGACCACCUGAGGGACCUACGUUCCCAUCUACACGGCUACAUCUGCACAAUCCCUCGGAUCUAGGAUCAUAUGUCUUACAUCCAUCCUGGCAGAGCCCAUAUUACCAUGUGGUUGUACUGGAAGCUACUAAACAGGAAAACUAGUCCAGUCUCUGAUACCCUAGGUGGCAUUCGACAUUUCUGACGCAAGCGCUCCCCGAAUCCACGGAAGAGACGUCCAUGGACGGUCUGUAACAUCCCAAAAUUUCAAAUCCUUUCAUAUGUAUUGCAUUCAUGAGCAUCAUGUCACAAUUGCAUAUUUGAAAUCAAAUUUGAAUCUCAAAAGGCUUUAAAAGACUUUGUUUCAAUUUAAACCCUAGGUUUACACCCAUUUGAGCUGUGGAUCUUCAAACUAAUAAGGUUUAUUUAUAAAAGGGGUUUAUUGCAUAAAUAAGCUAUCCCAUAAUUUAUAAGAUUUUAUUUGGAGUUGAAAAAGUAUUUUAUUUAAAUAGUUAUAUAGCCCUAAAGGCAUUUAUAGGGCAAAUGUAUUUUUAGAUAUUUUAUUUUGAGGGGAAAUUACUCCCAAGAGUUGUAUCUUGAUAAAACAUGAUUUUACAAAUUUUCUGGAAUUUAUUUGGACCAAUUUAGAGUUCAAAAUCAAAAGAUAUCAAAGAAAUAAGAAAAACAGAAAAAGAAAAGGCUAAAAAAAAAAAGGGAGAACACCGGACUGGCCCGGCCAAAUGGGCCGAACCGGCCCAGUUCCGUGCGCCCGGACCGGACCGAGCCGCUGUUGCGUGGGACCCACGAGUCAGGGUCUUCGUCCCCGAUUGAAAGUACCCGCGUCUGCCGCCGCCUUCCUUCUUCGCCGCCACGCGCUGUCUCCGCCGAGAUCUCCGCGCUCCGUCCUUAUUUCGCAGCCCCGCCCGCGUCCUUUAAAAGCCCGUGCCUCCCUCUCUUCUUCCCCUCUUCUCGCCGCCUCGAUUACGCGCCCACGCCGCCGCGAUUGCUCGGCGGAACCCUAGCGCGCCCGCCGCCGUUUUCCUUCGUCGCCGGCAACCCUAAGGGUUAGCUCCGCCAUCUUCUUCUCCCUCUACUUCUUCAUCUCCGUGCGCUUCUUUUGACGCGCCCCGUUUCCUUUUUCGUGCACCGUAGCGCCGCCCCCAUCAUCGCCGAAGCUCGCCGGAGUCCGCCGCCCGCGCUGCCGCGCCCGUCCCCGUCCUAGGCGUGGCCUCCGACCGCGUCCCCGACCUCGCCUUGCCGCGCCGCGUCGACCCCGCACCUCCCCGCGCCGCCAGCUUCACCGGAGAAGCUGCCCGCCGCCCGCCCGUGCCCGCGCCGCCGCAGUGGAGGUAAUGGUCACAACCACCGCCAGGGAAACCAAGGACACCACCACUAGGGUGGCAAUGGGAACCGACACCAUCAACAGCACCAGCAGCAGCAGCAGUUCGCUCGCCCAAGGCCCAUCAAUGGCAAUGGCAAUGGCAGGAACAACAGCAAUGGCCAGAGCAACAAUGGUUAGAACCACAAUGCCAACAAGGACAUGAGCAAGGUGGAAUGCUUUAAGUGUCACAAGAUAAGACACUAAACCACCAACUGCCCGGAGAACCAGGAUGGUACUGGGAACAAGCCCAACCCAUUCCAGAAGGACCACGUGAAUCACGUGGAUGUGGAAGAGAUCACCGAGGAACCAGGUAUCAUACUUGGCACCUUCCACGUUAAUGCUUUUGAAGUACUAGUUCUAUUUGACACUGGUGCAUCGCAUUCAUUCAUUUCAAGAGUAUUGGUAGAAAGAGGCAAAUUACCCUCUAAGACCAUGGCUAGACCCAUGAAAGUGAACUCACCGGGUGGAACAAUGCUAGCAACCCGACACUGCCACCAGCUACCCCUAAGUAUUGGGAGACACAAUUUUCCCUCUGAUCUCAUAGUUAUAGAUUCCCGAGGACUGGACCUAAUCCUGGGAAUGGACUGGUUGACCUUGUAUGAAGGAUUAGUAGACUGUGCCCAGAGAACUGUCACACUCACAACCCCAGACAAGAGACGCAUCCGGUACAAGUCAACCCACGAGCUUAAGAAACCCAAGGUAAAUGCUCUUAAGGGGGUUAGCAUGGACGAAGUACCGAUAGUGAAGGAAUACCCAGACGUAUUUCCAGAGGAAUUACCAGGCAUGCCACCGGACCGUGACGUUGAGUUUCUCAUUGAAUUAAUGCCAGGAAGUGGACCCAUAGCCAAGAGACCAUAUAAGAUGGCUGUGGAUGAGUUAAAGGAAUUGAAGAAGCAGCUAGCUGAACAGUUACCGAAAGGUUUCAUCCGCCCUAGUUCAUCACCCUGGGGAGCACCUGUCCUGUUUGUGGAAAAGAAGGACAAGAGCCAACGGAUGUGCAUUGACUAUCGUUCACUAAAUGAGGUGACGAUAAAGAAUAAGUAUCCUUUGCUCAUAAUCAAUGAUCUUUUCGAUCAAUUGAAGGGAGCUCAAGUGUUCUCAAAGAUCGAUCUGCGAUCAGGGUAUUUCCAGCUGAAGAUCCGAGAGAUGGAUAUACCCAAGACGGCAUUCACCACUAGGUAUGGACUGUAUGAGUACACUGUGAUGCCUUUUGGAUUGACCAAUGCACCUGCAUAUUUCAUGAACAUGAUGAACAAGGUGUUCAUGGAAUUCUUGGACAAGUUUGUCGUAGUAUUCAUCGAUGACAUAUUGAUCUAUUCCAAGAGCAAGGAAGAGCAUGAGCAGCAUCUGCGCAUGAUUUUGGAGAAGUUGAGAGAGCACCAGCUGUACGCCAAAUUCAGCAAGUGUGAAUUUUGGUUACCAGAAGUCCGCUUUCUAGGACACAUAGUGUUAGGAGCCGGAGUAGCUGUUGACCCAGCUAAGGUUGCAGCAGUUACAUAAUGGGAGGCACCGAAGAACGUCGGAGAAGUUCGCAGUUUCCUUGGACUUGCUGGUUACUACCGGGGGGUUCAUUGAGAAUUUCUCCAAAAUAGCGAAACCCAUGAUUGAGCUCUUAAAGAAGGAAAAGAAGUUUGCCUGGAAUGAGUUAUGUGAAGAGAGCUUCCAGGAAUUGAAGAAAAGACUUGUGUCUGCGCCCAUCCUUGUGUUACCUGACCUGCAAGAGGAUUUUCAAGUGUACUGUGAUGCCUCACGUCAAGGAUUGGGAGGAGUCUUAAUGCAAGGAGGUAGAGUCCUAGCGUACGCUUUGCGACAACUAAAAGAUUAUAAUCUGACUUUGUAAUCCCAUCCAGGCAAGGCAAACGUGGUAGCUGACGCUUUGAGCCAUAAGGGCUAUUUGAAUGGACUGACAGCAGGAGAAUUACCGCCAGAAUUGUGCGAACAGUUCAAUGACCUUAGACUGGAAAUAGUACCCGAAGGUUACUUAGCCAAUUUGGAAGUACAUCCCACACUGCUAGAUAAGAUUAGAGAAGCACAGAAGGAUGACCCGGAAAUUAAUGAAAUAAAAGAAAAUAUGGUUAUUGGAAAGGCCAAAGAUUUUCGAGAGGAUGACCAAGGAACCAUAUGGUUCGGUAAACGCAUUUGCGUACCGCAGUAUCCGGAAAUCAGAAAGCUGAUUUUACAAAAAGCCCAUGAUUCACUGUACUCAAUCCACCCUGGGAACACGAAAAUGUACAUGGACCUCAAGGAAACAUUUUGGUGGUCCGGAUUAAAGCGAGACAUCACAUAGUUCAUUGCCUUGUGCGAUGUGUGCAGCAGGGUUAAGGCCGAACACCAGAAACCAGCAGGAUUGCUAAGACCGCUGCCUAUACCAGACUGGAAAUGGGAUAAAGUAGGCAUGGAUUUUUUCACCGGUUUACCAAGGACCAAAUCAGGGUAUGAUUCCAUAUGGGUAGUGGUCGACCGUUGGACCAAGGUUGCCCACUUUAUACUGGUAAAGACUACUUACACCAGUGCACAGUUAGCGAAACGCUACAUUUCCAGAAUAGUGUGUUUACACGGAGUACCCAAGGAAAUAGUUUCAGACAGAGGUACCCAAUUUACCUCAAGAUUUUGGGGACAACUACAUGAAGCUCUAGGAACGAGACUAGAAUUCAGCACAGCUUUUCAUCCGCAGACGAAUGGACAAACCGAGAGAGUUAAUCAGAUCCUUGAAGACAUGUUGAGAGCAUGUGCUCUAGAUUAUGGAUCCAGUUGGGAUGACAACCUGCCGUAUGCAGAAUUCUCAUACAACAACAGCUUCCAAGCCAGCAUUGGAAUGUCACCGUUUGAAGCUUUGUAUGGAAGGAAGUGAAGAACACCAUUGUUAUGGGAUGGUGUAGGAGAUCUGGCCUAUUCGGACCGGAUAUGAUAAAGGACGCCGAGGAAAAGGUUAGACUCAUCCAAAACCGGCUGAAGGUAGCUCAGUCAAGGCUGAAGAGCUAUGCAGACUCCAAACGUAGGGAAGUUACCUACAAGAUUGAAGGAAGAGCGUAUCUCAGAGUUUCGCCGAUACGCGGGGUAAAGGGAUUUGAUAUAAAAGGAAAGUUAGCACCCCGUUUUAUUGGACCUUUGAAGAUCUUGUCACGACAAGGAGAGGUAACCUACAAAUUGGAUUUACCGGAAGCACUGUCCAAUGUCCACAAUGUCUUCUGUGUGUCGCAACUGAAGAAGUGUCAUCCUGAGAUGGCCGACACACCACUAAGGGAUACAAUUCCACUUGAAGAAGUCCAGCUACAAAGUGACCUCACCUAUGAGGAGAAACCUAUCAGAAUCUUGGAUACAGUUGAGAGACAAACCCGAUCCAAGACUAUCAAGUUCUGCAAAGUUCAGUGGGAUCAUCACACAGAAGAAGAAGCCACUUGGGAACGCGAAGAUGAUCUUCGAGAAGACCACCCACACCUCUUUGCUCACCACACCUAAUCUCGAGGACGAGAUUUAUCUUAAGGUGGUUAGGUCUGUAACAUCCCAAAAUUUCAAAUCCUUUCAUAUAUAUUGCAUUCAUGAGCAUCAUGUCACAAUUGCACAUUUGAAAUCAAAUUUGAAUCUCAAAAGGCGUUAAAAGACUCUGUUUCAAUUUAAACCCUAGGUUUACACCCAUUUGAGCUUUGGAUCUUCAAACCAAUAAUGUUUAUUUAUAAAAGGGGUUUAUUGCAUAAAUAAGCUAUCCCAUAAUUUUUAAGAUUUUAUUUGGAGUUGAAAAUGUAUUUUAUUUAAAUAGUUAUAUAGGGCUAAAGGCAUUUAUACGGCAAAUGUAUUUUUAGAUAUUUUAUUUUGAGGGGAAAUUACUCCCAAAAGUAGUAUCUUGAUAAAACAUGAUUUUACAAAUUUUCUGGAAUUUAUUUGGACCAAUUUGGAGUUCAAAAUCAAAAGAUAUCAAAGAAAUAAGAAAAACAGAAAAAGAAAAGGCUAAAAGAAAAAAAAAGGGAGAAAACCGGACCGGCCCGGCCAAAUGGGCCGAACCGGCCCUGUUCCGCGCGCCCGGACCGGACCGAGCCGGCCCCGCGCCGCGCGCGCGUGCUCGCUGCCGCUGACGCGUGGGACCUACGUGUCAGGGUCUUCGUCCCCGUUGGAAAGCACCCGCGUCCGCCGCCGCCUUCCUUCUUCGCCGCCGCGCGGCGUCUCCGCCGAGAUCUCCGCGCUCCGUCCAUAUUUCGCAGCCCCGCCCGCGUCCUUUAAAAGCCCGUGCCUCCCUCUCUUCUUCCCCUCUUCCCGCCGCCUCGAUUACGCGCCCACGCCGCCGCGAUUGCUCGCCCG
RNAcentral lists this long non-coding RNA (30486 nucleotides) under Brachypodium distachyon (stiff brome). RNAcentral's name for it is "long non-coding RNA (BDIS_LNC000439)". The record is from RNAcentral. Lineage: Eukaryota; Viridiplantae; Streptophyta; Magnoliopsida; Poales; Poaceae.